Molecule: ribosomal RNA, 223 nt
Filed under: uncultured bacterium
Lineage: Bacteria
Description: partial 16S ribosomal RNA
Rfam family: Bacterial small subunit ribosomal RNA
Source: RNAcentral
UAACGCGUGGGUAACCUGCCUCGUACAGGGGGAUAACAGUUAGAAAUGACUGCUAAUACCGCAUGAGCGCACAGUGCUGCAUGGCACAGUGUGAAAAACUCCGGUGGUAUGAGAUGGACCCGCGUCUGAUUAGCUAGUUGGUGGGGUAACGGCCUACCAAGGCGACGAUCAGUAGCCGGCCUGAGAGGGUGAACGGCCACAUUGGGACUGAGACACGGCCCAG